Molecule: long non-coding RNA, 331 nt
Filed under: Setaria viridis
Lineage: Eukaryota; Viridiplantae; Streptophyta; Magnoliopsida; Poales; Poaceae
Description: long non-coding RNA (SVIR_LNC000872)
Source: RNAcentral
GAGACCUUACCACAGUAUAGGCCAAGCACAGGCAAAUAAGUGUAGAGGGCUAGAGGCUGGUUCGCACCAUGGCACAAGCCAAGCUCCAAGCCUAAUGGUACAGCGAGAAGUUACCUGUUUGCUGAUCCAUUUAUGUGGUAAAGGUUUAGUCUGACGUUGCUCAGUCAGCUUACACUUUUGGACUAGCAAGCAAGGACACGAUCCAUCAUCAGAUCUAAGUGUUCUAGUUGGUUUGUGACGAGGUAAUAAAUUAGUAGCUAGUAGGUGAAAACAAGUGGAAAAGUUUUGUUGCCUAUAAGGAGUCAGUAGAUUCAAUUGACAGUGCUUUACG